Pantherophis guttatus is the source of this 586-nucleotide non-coding RNA. NCBI's taxonomy places the organism in Eukaryota, Metazoa, Chordata, Lepidosauria, Squamata, Colubridae. The record is from RefSeq and is a predicted model, not a curated record.
CUCGACCACAGUUGAGCCCCAACAUUUCGGUUGUUAAGGAAGAAUGAAGUAUCCAUUGCAACAGCUGAAACAACACAGCCAGCUCUGCUGGUGCAGAGGGCGUGUUCCGCUCCGAGGGCUAUCAUGCCCCCAGAAAAGCAAGCCAAGUGCCCCAUUUUAUGAUCCAAGAUGCCUCCUCGCCAUUCGGCAAUAUAGUCAAAAGCCUUUGUACAAAAAUACUUGAAAUGAUUUGUGGACUUUGCCCAUGAAAUAGGAUGUUUCACCAAGGAAGCAAAAGGGCUCCAGACAAAGCAGUUUGAAACGGUUUUGAUUCUGAAUGACUGCAAUGUGCCAUGUUUCCUGAAGCCAACGAGCCAUUCUUAACAUUAAUAAUGAAACAAACUCUUUAAUAUUUCACGUAUUGUGGAGUUUGCUAGUAUCAAUAAAUAAAUAUAAUACCAUUUUCCCCCCAAAAUAAGACCCUGUCUUACAUUUUUUUGAACCCUGAAAUAAGCACUUGGCCUUAUUUUUGGGGAGGUCUUAUUAUUUUGGGGCGUGUGGAGCAAGAUGGGGCUCCUCUUGCCAUCUUACCUGAUUUCCAGCUCUG